ACCAUGCCAACCCCCAUGAGUGCCUCCUAUGUUGCCUCUGCCACCACCACUUGCUGUGACUGAGCCUCGGUGAAGGAGAGCGCUGAGCAUCGGGAGGAAGACGGAAGAGUAAGCUGAUUCAUCUUCUGUUUGCAGGAACGGUGUUGCAACCCUCCAACAGGGUGUAGUCCUGGUCGGUGUCACAGGCCAUCCAUACUUGUGUGGAUGGACAGGACUUUUACACAGCUGGGGGACAUUCCAGGAUCAGUCAAACUUCAGGAACUGUCUGAUAGGAAGAGAGAGAGGAUUUGUCAAAACCUAAUAAUAUUAAUAACAUACAUGCUGAAUGUAUUAAGUUAUUAAAUGGUUGAAAAAGCUGGCUGGGAAGAGUAAAAGAAUGUUGAGUGGAAAAAAAAUGUCUUUCUUAGAAAAAUACCUAUUAUUAUUAGCUACUUUUAAACAUUAUUACUAGUCUGUUCUUAUCACUAUAACUAAUUAUUACUAUAGAUCUGUGGGAUAGAAACCUUUCUCACAGUAUUUUCCCGUUUAUGGUGAUGGGGAGUGUGUCCACGAACUAUCUGCAUUAUGAAGAAAACAUUACUAUAACACUGAACUAGCAGCAUUCUUGUCUAAUAAACUGUGGUACUGUC
Long non-coding RNA from Eriocheir sinensis (Chinese mitten crab), 629 nucleotides. RefSeq lists it as uncharacterized. The record is from RefSeq and is a predicted model, not a curated record. The transcript has 2 exons. Lineage: Eukaryota; Metazoa; Arthropoda; Malacostraca; Decapoda; Varunidae.